This 172-nucleotide ribosomal RNA is filed under the name uncultured bacterium. RNAcentral's name for it is "partial 16S ribosomal RNA". It matches the Rfam family "Bacterial small subunit ribosomal RNA", at positions 335 to 524 of the family's 1533-position model. The record is from RNAcentral.
ACUCCUACGGGAGGCAGCAGUAGGGAAUUUUCGGCAAUGGGGGAAACCCUGACCGAGCAAUGCCGCGUGAGUGAUGAAGGCCUUCGGGUUGUAAAGCUCUGUCUUCGGGGACGAUAAUGACGGUACCCGAGGAGGAAGCCACGGCUAACUACGUGCCAGCAGCCGCGGUAAU